CUCUCUCUCUCUCUCUCCCCAGUGGCUCUGCCUUGCCUCUCCUGUCCCGUGUAUGGUCUCGCUACUCUAAGCGAGGGGACGAGAGACGUGUCCUGUCACCUCUCCCUCCACCUUCACCCCUCCGCCUAGAGUGGGGUCACCUCGGCAGCCAGAAGAGCCACGUGCUGUUGUUGAGGGAUAUUAAGUCGAUACAGAGAAUGAGAAUGAGAGACAGAGACGCUUUGGAGAUCAGAAUUCGGGCCAAAGACCCUGUUGUUUUCCAGUUCGAGACCAGCCCGGAGCUAGUGCAGUGGGAACGGGAGUUGACCAGACCGCCGGUAGAUGCGCCAAGUCCGGAACAGCGAUCCCGCUCCAUCAGCGUUCAUUUCUCUCCGGAAACCUGGCAUCGAGAAGCUCCCGGAUUCUCCAAAACACGAGAGGCAGGAGUGGAGCGGGUAUCAAUAAAGGAUUGACUCAAUCUGUCUGUGUGUCUCUCAUUCAUUCAUUCAUUCAUUCACUCACUCAUUCAUCCACUCAUGCUUUCACUCAUUCAUUCACUCGUUCACUCAUCAUACAUUCACUC
This is a long non-coding RNA of Leucoraja erinaceus (little skate), 562 nucleotides long. RefSeq lists it as uncharacterized. The record is from RefSeq and is a predicted model, not a curated record. The transcript has 3 exons. NCBI's taxonomy places the organism in Eukaryota, Metazoa, Chordata, Chondrichthyes, Rajiformes, Rajidae.